CCCUUAGAUGUUCUGGGCCGCACGCGCGCUACACUGAUGCAUUCAACAAGCCUAGCCUUGACCGAGAGGUCCGGGUAAUCUUUGAAACUGCAUCGUGAUGGGGCUAGAUUAUUGCAAUUAUUAAUCUUCAACGAGGAAUGCCUAGUAAGCGUGAUUCAUCAAAUCGCGUUGAUUACGUCCCUGCCCUUUGUCCACACCGCCCGUCGCUCCUACCGAUUGAAUGUGUUGGUGAGGAGCUCGGAUUGGCAGCAGUUGGUGGUUCGCCACCGGCUAUUGCUGAGAAGUCCUCCAAACCGCCCCAUUUAGAGGAAGGAGAAGUCGUAACA
Molecule: ribosomal RNA, 326 nt
Filed under: uncultured eukaryote
Lineage: Eukaryota
Description: partial 18S ribosomal RNA
Rfam family: Eukaryotic small subunit ribosomal RNA
Source: RNAcentral